RNAcentral lists this ribosomal RNA (225 nucleotides) under uncultured bacterium. RNAcentral describes it as "partial 16S ribosomal RNA". It matches the Rfam family "Bacterial small subunit ribosomal RNA", at positions 97 to 339 of the family's 1533-position model. The record is from RNAcentral.
GGCGCACGGGUGCGUAACGCGUGGGAAUCUGCCCUCAGGUUCGGAAUAACAGCGAGAAAUUGCUGCUAAUACCGGAUGAUAUCGCGAGAUCAAAGAUUUAUCGCCAAAAGAUAAGCCCGCGUCAGAUUAGAUAGUUGGUGGGGUAAUGGCCUACCAAGUCUGUGAUCUGUAGCUGGUCUGAGAGGAUGAUCAGCCACACUGGAACUGGAACACGGUCCAGACUCC